UACGUAGGGGGCUAGCGUUGUCCGGAUUUAUUGGGCGUAAAGGGUGCGUAGGCGGCGCGGUAAGUCGGAUGUGAAAUCUCGGAGCUUAACUUCGAAACUGCAUUCGAUACUGCCGUGCUUGAGGACUGGAGAGGAGACUGGAAUUUACGGUGUAGCGGUGAAAUGCGUAGAUAUCGUAAGGAAGACCAGUGGCGAAGGCGGGUCUCUGGACAGUUCCUGACGCUGAGGCACGAAGGUCAGGGGAGCAAACGGG
RNAcentral lists this ribosomal RNA (253 nucleotides) under uncultured bacterium. RNAcentral's name for it is "partial 16S ribosomal RNA". It matches the Rfam family "Bacterial small subunit ribosomal RNA", at positions 524 to 776 of the family's 1533-position model. The record is from RNAcentral.